GACCCAGCAACGCCGCGUGAAGGAAGAAGGCCUUCGGGUUGUAACUUCUUUACCAGGGACGAAGGACGUGACGGUACCUGGAGAAAAAGCAACGGCUAACUACGUGCC
RNAcentral lists this ribosomal RNA (108 nucleotides) under uncultured bacterium. RNAcentral describes it as "partial 16S ribosomal RNA". It matches the Rfam family "Bacterial small subunit ribosomal RNA", at positions 385 to 509 of the family's 1533-position model. The record is from RNAcentral.